GACGAACGCUGGCGGCGUGCCUAACACAUGCAAGUCGAGCGGGGUUGAAGCGAGAGGUAACUCGAACUUCUACCUAGCGGCGGACGGGUGAGUAACGCGUGGGCAACCUGCCUCAAGGUCUGGGAUAACAGCCCGAAAGGGCUGCUAAUACUGGGUAUGCUUGUGGCCUCGCAUGGGGCUAUGAGCAAAGGGGAAACCCGCCUUGAGAUGGGCCCGCGUCCCAUCAGCUAGCUGGUGAGGUAACAGCUCACCAAGGCGACGACGGGUAGCCGGCCUGAGAGGGUGACCGGCCACACUGGGACUGAGACACGGCCCAGACUCCUACGGGGGCAGCAGUGGGGAUCUUGCACAAUGGGCGAAAGCCUGAUGCAGCGACGCCGCGUGAGCGAAGAAGGCCUUCGGGUUGUAAAGCUCUGUCUGGAGGGACGAAGGAAGUGACGGUACCUCCGGAGGAAGCCACGGCUAACUACGUGCCAGCAGCCGCGGUAAGAUCACG
This 496-nucleotide ribosomal RNA is filed under the name uncultured bacterium. RNAcentral describes it as "bacterial SSU rRNA". It matches the Rfam family "Bacterial small subunit ribosomal RNA", at positions 28 to 527 of the family's 1533-position model. The record is from RNAcentral.